AGUGAACGCUGGCGGCGUGCUUAACACAUGCAAGUCGAACGAGAACGGAUUAUAGCUUGCUAUAAUUGUCAGCUAAGUGGCGCACGGGUGAGUAAUGUAUAGGUAAUAUGCCUCUUACUAAGGGAUAACAAAUGGAAACGUUUGCUAAUACCUUAUACUCCUUAUUAACAGAAGUUAAUAAGGGAAAGAUUUAUUGGUAAGAGAUUAGCCUGUAUUGUAUCAGUUAGUUGGUGGGGUAAUGGCUUACCAAGACUAUGACACAUAACUGGUUUGAGAGAAUGAUCAGUGAAAAUGUAACUGAGACACGGGCCAGGAUCCUACGGGAGGCAGCAGUGGGGAAUAGUGCACCAUGCACGAAGGUCUGUUGCAGCAACGCCGCGUGGAGGAUGACACAUUUCGGUGCGUAAACUCCUUUUAUAUGAGAAGAUAAUGGCGGUAUGAUAUGAAUAAGCAUCGGCUAACUCCGUGCCAGAAGCCGCGGUAA
RNAcentral lists this ribosomal RNA (484 nucleotides) under uncultured bacterium. RNAcentral's name for it is "partial 16S ribosomal RNA". It matches the Rfam family "Bacterial small subunit ribosomal RNA", at positions 29 to 523 of the family's 1533-position model. The record is from RNAcentral.